GUGGGGAAUAUUCCGCAAUGGACGAAAGUCUGACGGAGCAACGCCGCGUGAGUGAUGAAGGUUUUCGGACUGUAAAGCUCUGUUGUUUAGGACGAAAGUGCCUGUUGCAAAUAGUUACAGGUAUUGACGGUACUGAACGAGGAAGCCACGGCUAACUACGUGCCAGCAGCCGCGGUAAUACGUAGGUGGCAAGCGUUGUCCGGAAUUAUUGGGCGUAAAGAGCAUGUAGGCGGAGAUUUAAGUCUGUUGUGAAAAUGCGGGGCUCAACCCCGUAUUGCGAUGGAAACUGAAUUUCUUGAGUGCAGGAGAGGAAAGGGGAAUUCCCAGUGUAGCGGUGAAAUGCGUAGAUAUUGGGAGGAACACCAGUGGCGAAGGCGCCUUUCUGGACUGUGUCUGACGCUGAGAUGCGAAAGCCAGGGUAGCGAACGGGAUUAGAAACCCCGGUAGUCC
RNAcentral lists this ribosomal RNA (450 nucleotides) under uncultured bacterium. RNAcentral describes it as "partial 16S ribosomal RNA". It matches the Rfam family "Bacterial small subunit ribosomal RNA", at positions 354 to 796 of the family's 1533-position model. The record is from RNAcentral.